Molecule: ribosomal RNA, 450 nt
Filed under: Halorubrum sp.
Lineage: Archaea; Methanobacteriati; Methanobacteriota; Halobacteria; Halobacteriales; Haloferacaceae
Description: bacterial SSU rRNA
Rfam family: Archaeal small subunit ribosomal RNA
Source: RNAcentral
AGUGCACAGGCAUAGCGCCUGUGCUUUUCGGUAUCCCUAAGGCGGUACCAGAAUAAGGGCUGGGCAAGACCGGUGCCAGCCGCCGCGGUAAUACCGGCAGCCCAAGUCAUGGCCGAUCUUAUUGGGCCUAAAGCGUCCGUAGCUGGCCGCGCAAGUCCAUCGGGAAAUCCACCUGCUCAACAGGUGGGCGCCCGGUAGAAACUGCGUGGCUUGGGACCGGAAGGCGCGACGGGUACGUCCGGGGUAGGAGUGAAAUCCCGUAAUCCUGGACGGACCGCCGAUGGCGAAAGCACGUCCGCAGAACGGAUCCGACAGUGAGGGACGAAAGCCGAGGGUCUCGAACCGGAUUAGAUACCCGGGUAGUCCUGGCCGUAAACAAAUGUUCUGCUAGGUGUGGCUCCCACUACGAGUGGGUGCUGUGCCGUAAGGGAAAGCCGCUAAGCAGACCGC